Molecule: transfer RNA, 72 nt
Organism: Weissella kandleri
Lineage: Bacteria; Bacillati; Bacillota; Bacilli; Lactobacillales; Lactobacillaceae
Rfam family: tRNA
About the family: Transfer RNA (tRNA) molecules are approximately 80 nucleotides in length. Their secondary structure includes four short double-helical elements and three loops (D, anti-codon, and T loops).
Source: Rfam
UGGGGUAUAGCCAAGUGGUAAGGCAGUGGUUUUUGGUACCAUGUAGCGUAGGUUCGAAUCCUACUACCCCAA